CCCACGUGGUUUCAUCGAAGCUGUACGUCACACUCGAGAAACGACAGACGAGCGAAUCAGACCGCACGCACUUUGCACGACGCCGAAUCUAUAUUCAAGAAAAACUACGAUAAACGCUCGCAUACGAAUUUUCUCAAUUUCUCUCUCCAAAGGAAUCAACAAUUCUCCAAAGCAGCACGGGAAUUCACAGUUAAAUGAGUCGAUCGGAAAAAUCGUACAGGGGCACGCGUGUGCACGGUUGAUGAAAAUUCGAAAAAAAUGACUCCCGCCUCUCCGUGCGGUAUCUCUUUUGUACAGCUGUUGGACGAGAGCGACGGACACACGCGAGUCUGCACAGUGAACGAGCUCGUGGUGAAAGCUGAUACUGCAUUUAUUAAUCAUCGAAAUCAUCGCACAGCGAUUCCAUUUACGCGCUUUGCUCUCGCAUAAAUAAUAAUAGGAUAAGUAAUGCAAUCAGCUGAUGUGAAAAUAUAUGCACUCCUACAAGGCAGUAAAUAUGUUUUCCUUUUGAUGCCAAAUGAAAUAUGUAUCAUUUUAUGGCGAUGCAAAAGAUCCAGGAACAGGAAUAAACAGCUGAUAUGCGUCUUGUCAAUUACAAGUAUACGAAAUUGGCACGAAGUGAAGACGCAUGAAAGAACUGCCAGGUCGAGACGUCUUGGAGUGCAUAAUUGAAAGAUCUAUUUUACAUCCUUGGGACUGUGCUUUAUGCUCUGCGAACCUAUUAACCAAUGGCAAAUGUACGAAAAGAUGCUUGGAAUAAUUCCGAAACGUCGAGAAUAAGAAUUUCCUCGUCGGGAAACGUUGAGAAAUGUUCGCAAAUCGUAAUUCGAGCGCGUGACGGUAAGUUCCGGAAACUGGAAGGCUCGAAAGGGUACGCUCUUGAUAAGGGAUGUUGCGAGAGUGGUGGAACUGGAUGGCACGUCGAGAGCAAAGUUCAUCUCUCUUCCCCGAUGGCUCUUACGCUAGUCCUCGACCGCAAGGAUCCACUUAUCUCCUGGCUUCCUGUGCCCCGCGUCAAGAGCAUAUAUGUAUUAUUUAGGAUCUUAACAACCGAAAGGGCGUAUAAACAUUAAUUCGAGGGAUUAAGCAGCUAAGUUACGACCGUUAAACUUGAAGCCAUACGAGACAUAAUGGUAACACCCUCUAGGAUGGUAUAGAGACGAGACCCUCGCUAAUACUUUGGCCCCUUGUAACUCAUCCCCAGGCUUUCUGUAACACAUAUAUAGACGCUCAUAUGUAUACAUGUAUACGAAGAGCCAGUGUCACUAUAAAUGUGGAAUCGGACGAGAAUGUCUGCCAUCUUCUCGAGCACCACACGGAUUAACUCUCGACAACUAAGUACAUUCUUCGCUUAUCACAUCUCCCACGUAUGAUACAAUGAUCUUUACGAUUGGAUUUUGGAACCCCUUCAAACUCGUGGAGAUUGAGCUGUGCACUCAGACACGAAUCACCCAAUCCGCAAAUCAGUCUUGUCUGCAUAACUGCUUUGAGUUAUAGUAGCGUUGGCCCAGUCCAUUCUUGGGGCGAUAAAUUACUGGGUUGUUAAUCUAUAACUGGAUUCUGAAUCGUUCUGAAUUCAUGGGUCCAAAUCAUCACGGUUUUAACGGCCGUCUUUUAGUUUGGAAAUGACAUCUGAUAAUCGGAGACGUUUGCAGACUUUUACCUUAUUUGCUUUAACUUAAUUAACUUACAACGCAUUUUAGCGGUUAACUGCUCCAUUGUGACGGCAUUUCUUUCGUUGGGGUCUGGACCUUUGAUUUUGGACGCAAGCGAUCAAGCUUUGUACUGUUCCAAACUUCAAGAAGAUGGAUUUGUUAUGUAGGUAAUACGAUAAAUAUGAGAAAGAAAUUGUCAAAAAAUAAACGUUGUUUAUCAUUA
Molecule: long non-coding RNA, 1878 nt
Organism: Venturia canescens
Lineage: Eukaryota; Metazoa; Arthropoda; Insecta; Hymenoptera; Ichneumonidae
Exons: 4
Source: RefSeq, a predicted model, not a curated record